Molecule: small nuclear RNA, 185 nt
Filed under: Microcebus murinus (gray mouse lemur)
Lineage: Eukaryota; Metazoa; Chordata; Mammalia; Primates; Cheirogaleidae
Description: U1 spliceosomal RNA (ENSMICG00000018537.3)
Rfam family: U1 spliceosomal RNA
About the family: U1 is a small nuclear RNA (snRNA) component of the spliceosome (involved in pre-mRNA splicing). Its 5' end forms complementary base pairs with the 5' splice junction, thus defining the 5' donor site of an intron.
Source: RNAcentral
AUACUUACCUGCCAGGGGAGAUAUCAUGAUCGCAAAGGUGGUUUUCCCAGGGUGAGGCUUAUCACUUGCACUUCCAAUGUGUUGAGCCCCUGAGACCAAAUGUGAGAAAUUUGACUACAUAAUUUGUGGUAGUAGUGGAGAAGGGAAAAAACUAGAAUGAGGGUAGACUAGAGCCUUCUCUAUCC